This 77-nucleotide transfer RNA is filed under the name Allobrachymonas sp. Its description in RNAcentral is "tRNA-Leu". It matches the Rfam family "tRNA". From Rfam's summary of the family: Transfer RNA (tRNA) molecules are approximately 80 nucleotides in length. Their secondary structure includes four short double-helical elements and three loops (D, anti-codon, and T loops). The record is from RNAcentral. Lineage: Bacteria; Pseudomonadati; Pseudomonadota; Betaproteobacteria; Burkholderiales; Comamonadaceae.
GCUCAGUUGGUGCAAUUGGCAGACACCGCAAGCUCAAACCUUGCGUCCUGCGAGUUCGAAUCUCGCACUGAGCACCA